This is a long non-coding RNA of Pseudophryne corroboree (corroboree frog), 312 nucleotides long. RefSeq lists it as uncharacterized. NCBI's taxonomy places the organism in Eukaryota, Metazoa, Chordata, Amphibia, Anura, Myobatrachidae. The transcript is spliced from 2 exons. The record is from RefSeq and is a predicted model, not a curated record.
CCUGUGCCCAGGAGCUUUGCCAGAGCAAAAUGACCAGAGCAGUAUAAAGAGGAUAGGGGACAGGGGUAUUAUGGAGACCAGGGGGCUCCAUCCAGCUGGCAAGCUCUAGAGUUGUGACAUACUGAAGAAGCCAGCCCAGAAGCCAAUACUCUAUUAUGACAGCCAAACUCGAAUUAAAGGUCAUUUGUCAGACUGCACUAUGCUGAGUCCCAGGCUGGUUUCCUCUCCAGUCUAUUGCUCUAUUGCUGAGUGUGCUGAAGUAUGCCUGCCCCGGAGAGAGCAGUGUGCUGAAUAAAAUCCACUCUCCCAUGG